Molecule: ribosomal RNA, 377 nt
Filed under: uncultured bacterium
Lineage: Bacteria
Description: bacterial SSU rRNA
Rfam family: Bacterial small subunit ribosomal RNA
Source: RNAcentral
UAAUACUAGGGGUGCAAGCGUUGUCCGGAAUCAUUGGGCGUAAAGGGUCCGUAGGCGUCUCAUUAAGUCACUUGUUAAAGACACCGGCUUAACCGGUGGAAUGCAUGUGAAACUGUUGAGAUAGAGUAUAGGAGAGGAAAGUGGAAUUCCUGGUGUAGCGGUGACAUGCGUAGAUAUCAGGAGGAACACCAAUGGCGAAGGCAACUUUCUGGCCUAUUACUGACGCUGAGGGACGAAAGCGUGGGGAGCAAACAGGAUUAGAUACCCUGGUAGUCCACGCCGUAAACGAUGAGUACUUGGUGUCGGGGGAUUCAACCCCUUCGGUACCGGAGCUAACGCAUUAAGUACUCCGCCUGGGAACUACGACCGCAAGGUUG